Molecule: ribosomal RNA, 477 nt
Filed under: uncultured anaerobic ammonium-oxidizing bacterium
Lineage: Bacteria
Description: bacterial SSU rRNA
Rfam family: Bacterial small subunit ribosomal RNA
Source: RNAcentral
UUCGCAAUGCCCGAAAGGGUGACGAUGCGACGCCGCGUGGGUGAGGAAGGCCCUCGGGUUGUAAAGCCCUGUCAGGAGUUAAGAAAUGUAAGUGCGCUAAUAUCGCAUUUAUUUGACGAAGGCUCCAAAGGAAGUCACGGCUAACUCUGUGCCAGCAGCCGCGGUAAUACAGAGGUGGCAAGCGUUGUUCGGAAUUAUUGGGCGUAAAGAGCACGUAGGUGGGUUUGCAAGUCAGAUGUGAAAGCCUCCUGUUCAACGGGAGAAUUGCAUCUGAAACUGCAGAUCUUGAGUGUAGGAGGGGAGAAUGGAACUUCUGGUGGAGCGGUGAAAUGCGUAGAUAUCAGAAGGAACGCCGGCGGCGAAAGCGAUUCUCUGGCCUAUUACUGACACUCAGUGUGCGAAAGCUAGGGGAGCAAACGGGAUUAGAUACCCCGGUAGUCCUAGCCGUAAACGAUGGGCACUAAGUAGAGGGGUUUU